Corylus avellana is the source of this 258-nucleotide non-coding RNA. Lineage: Eukaryota; Viridiplantae; Streptophyta; Magnoliopsida; Fagales; Betulaceae. The record is from RefSeq and is a predicted model, not a curated record.
CAGGUUGAUCCUGUUUCAGCAGGGGUUCAAUAUGAUAAAGAGUUUAUUGUAUGCUCUCUUGAUCUUCUCUCUGGACUUGCAGAGGGUCUUGGCAGUGGGAUAGAGAGUCUGGUAUGCCCUGUUCAUUUGCACCCCCGUUUGUCUGAAAUUCUUGAUGUUGCAGCAAAGCAACUGAACACUCCUAAACUGAAGGAAAUUGUUUCGGUAGCAAAUAAUGCAUGUUGGGCCAUUAGGGAAUUAGCAGUUAAGGUAUGUUAA